Molecule: ribosomal RNA, 533 nt
Filed under: uncultured bacterium
Lineage: Bacteria
Description: bacterial SSU rRNA
Rfam family: Bacterial small subunit ribosomal RNA
Source: RNAcentral
AGAUUGAACGCUGGCGGCAUGCCUUACACAUGCAAGUCGAACGGUAACAGGUCUUCGGAUGCUGACGAGUGGCGAACGGGUGAGUAAUACAUCGGAACGUGCCCGAUCGUGGGGGAUAACGAAGCGAAAGCUUUGCUAAUACCGCAUACGAUCUACGGAUGAAAGCAGGGGACCGCAAGGCCUUGCGCGAACGGAGCGGCCGAUGGCAGAUUAGGUAGUUGGUGGGAUAAAAGCUUACCAAGCCGACGAUCUGUAGCUGGUCUGAGAGGACGACCAGCCACACUGGGACUGAGACACGGCCCAGACUCCUACGGGAGGCAGCAGUGGGGAAUUUUGGACAAUGGGCGAAAGCCUGAUCCAGCCAUGCCGCGUGCAGGAUGAAGGCCUUCGGGUUGUAAACUGCUUUUGUACGGAACGAAAAGACUCUGGUUAAUACCUGGGGUCCAUGACGGUACCGUAAGAAUAAGCACCGGCUAACUACGUGCCAGCAGCCGCGGUAAUACGUAGGGUGCAAGCGUUAAUCGGAAUUACUG